RNAcentral lists this long non-coding RNA (2445 nucleotides) under Nilaparvata lugens (brown planthopper). RNAcentral describes it as "uncharacterized LOC120354848". Lineage: Eukaryota; Metazoa; Arthropoda; Insecta; Hemiptera; Delphacidae. The record is from RNAcentral.
UUUUUAGGCUGCUCUAACAGCGCUAAGGGCACUAUCGAAGAUGGGACUUGACACAGUCGCUCCAACCAAGAAAGGGAAUAAUAUUCAAUCUGGAGACGGACUUUUCGGAUCGAAUAUAUCUCCUUCAGCGGAAACAAAAACCAGCUACGUCAAUGGAGCAUCUAGCAAAUAAGGUUCUUUCUCAAAGAAUUGACGAGACGUUCACGUUUAUGCAAGUAUGAAAAAUAAUAAGUUUGUUGUACUUGAAGUUUACAAAAGAUGCAUAACUUCAAUUUACUAGAAAGUUGAGUAACACGACUACUUAACUAAUAGAAAAGUCACGGAAAAUUGUGAAAGUUUGUUAUAGUAUGGCGUUACUCAUAAAUUAUUACAAAAGCAAAAUUGCUAUCAAUUUGUCAUGUUUAAAAAACUAUUUCAAAUGAUUAAUAACAUUUAGCUGUCAUAAUUUUAUCUUUGUUAUACUGAUACUUAUUCAUUACUACUAGUCAAAUAAGCAUUUUGAAAUAAUAGCAAAUAAAUAUGUUCUUGGAAUUAAGAAAUCUUCAUUUGCUACUCUUCUAAUAAGCUAAUGUUAUUACAUCAUGUUUUUGAGCUUGUAAUGAUUUUAUGAGUGUGAGUUGAAUUUUUAUGUAAGACGCACUUGGAUUAGAAUAGUUGUAUAUUUAAGCUUCACCGAUAAAGCAUAACAUCGUAUUAUCGCAGUGCUAAUGCCCUAAGCCCUAAUGCCGUGUGAUGUUAACAUGGAAUUGAUUUUAACAAUUCACACAUAAAUUUUGGCUUUUAAAGAAUUACUACUUUACUGGUGUUGUGUCUGUUUAAACUAUUUAUAUUGAAAUAUCUCACAUACUUUUAAAUUUCUAUAAGUUUGUUUGUAUCUGUCCAAUAUCAAUGAUUCACUUUCUUCUCUAUUAGAAUGUCUAUUAAUUGAAUGAUAACCAAUAGAAUACCUAAAUGGAUGGAAAUUCUUGUAUAGGUUCAUAAUAGCGAAGAGAGUUUAAUAUAUUUUAUGAAAUUGGGAUGAAAAGAAGUUUUGGACUGUAGUCUGUUUCUUUGUCCUUAAGUUGAUUGUAAAUGAUAAAUACAUAAAUAAAUAUCAAUGUGUGACGAAGGAAUCGUUCAUCAUUUUAAUGAAAAUCAAUAGUGAAUACUUAUAAAUCAUCACAGUAACAUUUUCUUCCAGUUCUUACAACAUUUGUCAACUUGUAUUUGAAGUAGUUCUAAUCUUAUUAAAAUAAUAAUUUUAUUCCAGAAUUUGUAAUAGUUGGAUAUAUUUUGAAUGUUAAUGGUUUUUUUAGAAGAUCGAAAAUCGUAGAUCCACUUGAAGAGUAACGGUUUUUUACUUCUUGAUGUAACCGAAUUUUAAAAUUGAAAAUAAACCUCUUGGAUAGUAGCUGUUGUCAAUAUUUGCUGUAGCAGAAGUCUUCGGGGUGGUUUGCAGCAUUUGAUUGCAUUUUCGUUUAAUAAUUUAAAAUACAAUUUAUUGAAAACAAGAGUAUUCUAGAAAACAUAUUAAUACACAAACUAUAAGGAUUAUUUAAUAUUAUAUUAUUCAUUUAAUGUUAAUAGCUUUACAGUCCUAUUAUGAAGGCUGAAUACCUAUUUGGUUAUGUACUUACUGCAUCUAUAUCUCAAUUAUUCUGUUAUUGAUUUUGUUGAAAUUUGAAAAAAUCUGAAGUAAUAGACCAUUUAACCUUUUAUUGUCUUCUCCACCGUGCCAGAAAAUGGAAAUCAUUACAAGCCUAGUAAUCGUUCCCUUAACUGCAAAUAGGUUGCACUGGAUUCAAAAUGGAAACAAUUUUGGUGAUAACAUUUUAAUAUCAAGUAGCAUUUAUAUUGUGCAGUGCAGAUUAUCAUUUCAGCCUGUAAAAUCAUUGCGAACUAAAGUUUUAUUAAGAAAAAGUUCUCGACUUUUGAGAGCAUUUUUUCUCAGUUCAGACUGACCGAUUUUAUCUUUUGUGCAAUAUUCACCAUUUUACCCCUACCAUAUUUGGCUGUUAUGUUUGGAUUUGUUUCGCGAAUUGGAUAAAUAGUAGCAUAACAUUAUUUUAUAUUUACGAGUUGGAAAGACUUGUGAAUGAAAACGAUUGCCGACCUUAUCUUUCACUAUUUUCGACUUGUGAAUUGAAAUUAAUUUCAAAGGAAAUGCCAUUUAACUGAAAUUAUCGUGGUUUGUUAGACUAAUUAAUGAUAUUUUUGGUUUACUCCACUUCAAUUCCCAAGCUUCAACUUCUAUAAUAUAUUGCCUAAAUAUUCUGUACAACAUGGAAGCUGAAAGUGACUUUAAAACUUUUAUUCAGGUAAUUUUUAUCAAACCUGAUGAAUUCAACAUAUAUCUUGAAAUUUAUAAUUUGUUGUUCAAUGCUUAUUAAUUUCUAAUAUUUCAAUUUUUCUAUUUGUAUCUUUCUUCAAAUUCACAAAAUGUUCAAAAUAAAAUUACUAACCUAG